CUGAAAAAUAGCAAAACACAUGCAAGAAAACCCACUUCACGGACAUAAACAAUUCUUUAUUCUUUUAUAUUUUACGACACGGUAAUCAACGUUUAGACUCAAGGACAGGAACAUGGCAGAAGAAGGUGAGGUGGAGAUUAUUGACUCUGGUGUUCAGAAUGCUGGUCCCCCAAAACAAAACUCCAUGACUGAAACAGGAGCCCUAGUGGAGGUUGCCUUUCAGAAAGACCCCUAUCAAAAAAACAAGUACCUGGAGGCAGAACCUAAAGCUUUAGGGGUUUGUAGAUGGAACCUACCUUUGUGGGUCGCUUCACUUUAGACCUACUUUUAAUCUUUUGACUGUUUCUUCACAAGGCAGAGAUGAUAUCUAUGUUAUUUCUUUCUCCAAAGAUUACGCAAAUUAUGCUGAGUCUCUUUCUCAUGAGCAUCAGAUAUGCCAUUUCGGGAAAUGAGUCAAUGGCACACCUGAUAUUUGGAGGUCUUUCUUUAUUUGUAAGUUGAUCUCUUUAUAAUAAAAUCAUUAAAUCAUUAUCAUUACUAGCCUAAUAUGAUGCAGUUGGUUAUUUUUUUAAUGCACUGUCUGAUAUCUGAUUUCUAGUGGGUAUUUGUUUUCAAUCCUGCAGGGCUUAAUAGCUGGUGGUGUGGCAGUAGGUGCUCAGAACCUGCAUCUUCCUACAGUAAGCAAGGAAGCACUGACACACCACCUGGACAUCUUGCCCAAUAGCUGCCGUUAUUCAGAAUACAGUCACAGCUCAUACACGAUUAUGUCAUAGCAAUGUUUUAAAAGUGUGUGUCUCUGUCUGUGUGCAUGCCUGUUUUGUCUCCUCACAGCUGAAGGCCUGUUUGGGAGUGCAGGUUGUGAUGUGUGUAGUGUCAGUGUUCUGCAUGAUCACCAAUCUUGGGACCGAAUUUGAAAGCCCAGGCUUUCGGUUUUGCUGGCGUGACUCUCAAAACAGCACCUCGGGAAGAAUCCUGUGUGGAAAACUCCUGGUAAUAUUGCAUUUUGUUCCCUUGCUACACUUUUAUUUUUACUUACAGUCUGUCGCUUA
This is a long non-coding RNA of Electrophorus electricus (electric eel), 1049 nucleotides long. NCBI's taxonomy places the organism in Eukaryota, Metazoa, Chordata, Actinopteri, Gymnotiformes, Gymnotidae. The record is from Ensembl.